GAUGAACGCUGGCGGCGUGCUUAACACAUGCAAGUCGAGCGAAGCGCUUUGGUUAGAUUCUUCGGAUGAAGACCUUUGUGACUGAGCGGCGGACGGGUGAGUAACGCGUGGGUAACCUGCCUCAUACAGGGGGAUAACAGUUAGAAAUGGCUGCUAAUACCGCAUAAGCGCACAGCAUCGCAUGAUGUCGUGUGAAAAACUCCGGUGGUAUGAGAUGGACCCGCGUCUGAUUAGGUAGUUGGCGGGGUAACGGCCCACCAAGCCGACGAUCAGUAGCCGACCUGAGAGGGUGACCGGCACAUUGGGACUGAGACACGGGCCCAAACUCCUACGGGAGCAGCAGGUGGGGAAUAUUGCACAAUGGGCGAAAGCCUGAUGCAGCGACGCCGCGUGAGCGAAGAAGUA
RNAcentral lists this ribosomal RNA (405 nucleotides) under uncultured bacterium. Its description in RNAcentral is "bacterial SSU rRNA". It matches the Rfam family "Bacterial small subunit ribosomal RNA", at positions 28 to 415 of the family's 1533-position model. The record is from RNAcentral.